This is a long non-coding RNA of Brachypodium distachyon (stiff brome), 125 nucleotides long. RefSeq lists it as uncharacterized. The record is from RefSeq and is a predicted model, not a curated record. NCBI's taxonomy places the organism in Eukaryota, Viridiplantae, Streptophyta, Magnoliopsida, Poales, Poaceae. The transcript is spliced from 4 exons.
AUGUGUAACUUUGUGUUUGAACUGCCUGUUUCCUUGUAGUAGGAUCUUCAACUUUUUGGAAUGUUCCAAACUCCACUUGAGCAUCCAAAUCUGGAUCAAUACCAGCAAAAACAUCUCGGAACAAA